AGUGAACGCUGGCGGUAGGCCUAACACAUGCAAGUCGAACGGCAGCACAGUAAGAGCUUGCUCUUACGGGUGGCGAGUGGCGGACGGGUGAGGAAUACAUCGGAAUCUACUUUUUCGUGGGGGAUAACGUAGGGAAACUUACGCUAAUACCGCAUACGACCUACGGCUGAAAUCAAUGGAUCUUCGGACCUUGCGCGAUUGAAUGAGCCGAUGUCGGAUUAGCUAGUUGGCGGGGUAAAGGCCCACCAAGGCGACGAUCCGUAGCUGGUCUGAGAGGAUGAUCAGCCACACUGGAACUGAGACACGGUCCAGACUCCUACGGGAGGCAGCAGUGGGGAAUAUUGGACAAUGGGCGCAAGCCUGAUCCAGCCAUACCGCGUGGGUGAAGAAGGCCUUCGGGUUGUAAAGCCCUUUUGUUGGGAAAGAAAAGCAGCAGGUUAAUACCCCGCUGUUCUGACGGUACCCAAAGAAUAAGCACCGGCUAACUUCGUG
Molecule: ribosomal RNA, 492 nt
Filed under: uncultured bacterium
Lineage: Bacteria
Description: partial 16S ribosomal RNA
Rfam family: Bacterial small subunit ribosomal RNA
Source: RNAcentral